CCCUUAGAUGUUCUGGGCCGCACGCGCGCUACAAUAAUACGCACAGCGAGUAUCACCGAGCUCGAAAGGGCAAGGUAAACAAUAGAAAAGGUACUGUAAUGGUUAUAGAUCCUUGUAAUUAUUGAUCUUCAACGAGGAAUUCCUAGUAAGUAUGUGUCAUCAUCACGCACUGAUUACGUCCCUGCCCUUUGUACACACCGCCCGUCGCUCCUACCGAUUGAGUGAGCCGAUGAAACUGCCGGAUGUGGACUAUUCAUAGUCUGCAGAAGAUAUUUGAAUCGUAGCGCUUAGAGGAAGGAGAAGUCGUAACA
RNAcentral lists this ribosomal RNA (311 nucleotides) under uncultured eukaryote. Its description in RNAcentral is "partial 18S ribosomal RNA". It matches the Rfam family "Eukaryotic small subunit ribosomal RNA", at positions 1470 to 1796 of the family's 1831-position model. The record is from RNAcentral.